AAGGUCAACGCUCCAGCCUUUUGAAAACUCGCUCUGCGCUCCAGUCAAAUUGUGCACGCUGCGCUGCUCGCUCCAGCUCCGCUCCGCUCACAUACUCUGGUCGGAAGGCAACCCUUGAUCCCAACCGGAACAUGAUGUCAGGUGCCGAGCGUUUUAAGCUCCAGAGGCCCUAUGCAAAAUCUGAUGGUCACUUUCAGUAGCCUUAAACUACUGAAUUUGUUUGGACUUUGUAGAAACACAAGUCAUGGAAACGUUGAGAGAGAUAUCACUGCACAUGGAUACUGCACUGGAUUUUAGCGCACAGCAGGAGUUAAGUUCAUUCCGGGUCGAUACUGAACAAUAUAUCUAGUCUCUGGGGCCUCGCAGAUCAUCUGAAAAUUAUGAGCAUUUUUUCCCAAACACACAUCCAUACGGUGUGCCACAAAUGCGUAAAGCUAAAGGUGGAGAAAUGGACAAAGUUGCAUCCACAAGAAAGAUUUUGCAGACCUGAUAAGAAUGGAUCUCUCCUGAUAUUCUAUAGCAUACUCAUUAUUAGGCAUGUAAUUUUUUUUCACCCUCAUUUUCUAUACUAAAGAGCUGUUACACUUUUAAAGCUAAACAUACAUGUUUAAGGCUGAUGACACAAUGAACACUAAGUCAAUACCAAAGUGUGUAUCUCAUUUGUUUUGCUACAUAAGCCCUUCCAUUACUCAUAAAACACCACUGCUACAUUACUAGCUACUCUCUGGUCAGAAAACUGUAUCUGUUUAACAAAAACACAAGGACACGAGACCAAUAUUUUACAUGAGACCAAUAUUUGUUGUACUAUACACCACUUGUUCACAAAGUGUGCUUGUGGCAAUAAAAAGAUAAGCAAUGGA
Coregonus clupeaformis (lake whitefish) is the source of this 860-nucleotide long non-coding RNA. RefSeq lists it as uncharacterized. The record is from RefSeq and is a predicted model, not a curated record. NCBI's taxonomy places the organism in Eukaryota, Metazoa, Chordata, Actinopteri, Salmoniformes, Salmonidae. The transcript is spliced from 2 exons.